Daphnia pulex (common water flea) is the source of this 606-nucleotide long non-coding RNA. RefSeq lists it as uncharacterized. NCBI's taxonomy places the organism in Eukaryota, Metazoa, Arthropoda, Branchiopoda, Diplostraca, Daphniidae. The record is from RefSeq and is a predicted model, not a curated record. The transcript is spliced from 3 exons.
GUCGAAAGGAAACUAGACAAAAAUCACAAGAUGUUUCCCGAUUGGGAACUUGUUUCAAUGAUGUGGCCGGAUCUCGUCGAUCAGACCUUUUACGUCAAGGUGUCUCUUAAGUCGCCCUCACAUGUCAAACUACUUUGUUUUCUGCAACAACGUGCAUACAGCUACUGCAUUUCGUUCCAACUUCGAAGAAGUUCUAAUUUUCUAAUUAUUAAACAUUAAAGAUGCCACAAGGUAAAAUCAAGGUGAAAGCUGCAAUGCCGACCAACGUAAAAGGGAAAAAAGUAAAGAAACUCGACAAAGCUCCACCCCAAAGAAAAGUACAACACAACCCUAUUGGACCAAGAAAGGUUCAAAUCAUGGAGGCCAGACAGAUGAGGAAGAAUAUUUCAAAAACCAUCAAUCAAACGCUUGAAGAUAGGCUCGUUUCUCAAGUGUCUCAGGAUGGCAAACCUUUGGCAGUAAUUGGUCGGAAAGCUGCCCAGGAAGCCAAAGCAGAAAAAGCAAAGAAAGGAAAAAAAUAAAUUUACAAUUUUAAUCAAAUUUGUAUAUUUUCCGUGAUGCUUAAAUGUGAUUAAGUAUAAUAUGGGCUACCACCAAAACAAAGUA